CGAAUUUAAAAGAGCUAAUUUUAUAUAAAUUUUAUUGUGUAAAAAAUAUUUAUAAUAUAAAGUUAGUAAUGAAAUGUUAAUCGUUUUUAAAUAUAUCUAAUUUUUUAAGAAAAAAAUUUAAUUUUAUUAAUAAAUUUAAAUUAUUUAUUUUAUAAAUGAUUUAAUUUAUUAUUAAAUAUUUUAAGGGAUAAGCUUUAAAUUAAAUAUUAAUAACUAAAUUUGUAUUUAAAUAAUUAAUGGGAUUAAAAAUUUCUAUUGUUAAAAUUUUGUAAAAAUUUAUUAUUUUAUAAAUAUUAUUUUUAUUUAGUUUUAUUUUUUUAUUAAAAUAAAUUAUUUAAUAUUUAAAUUAUUGAAAUAAUGAUAAAAUUAGUAUUGUUUAUUAUAAAAUUAUAAUUUAUAUGAUAAGAUUAAAUAAAGUAAUUCGGCAAAUAUAUUUUUCACCUGUUUAUUAAAAACAUCUCUUUUUGAUAAUAAUUUAAAGUAGGGCCUGCCCACUGAGUAAUUGAAGGGCCGCAGUAUUUUGACUGUGCAAAGGUAGCAUAAUCACUAGUUUUUUAAUUGAAAGCUUGUAUGAAUGGUUUGAUGAGAAAAUAACUUUCUAUGUUUAAUUUAAAGAAUUUUAUUUUUAAGUUAAAAAGCUUAAAUUUUUUUAAUAGACGAGAAGACCCUAUAGAGUUUAAUUUUUCUUAAUUUAAUUAAAAUUUUUGGAAUUUUAAAAUUUUAAUUUUUAAAAAAAAUUUGAUUGGGGUGAUUGAAAAAUUAAAGAAACUUUUUUUUUAAAAAAACAUUAAUUUAUGAUUAAUUGAUCCAUAAAAAUGAUUAAAAGAAUAAAUUACCUUAGGGAUAACAGCGUUAUUUUUUUUUAGAGUUCAAAUCGAAAGAAAAGAUUGCGACCUCGAUGUUGGAUUAAAGUUAAUUUUAGGUGUAGAGGCUUAAAAAUUUGGUCUGUUCGACCAUUGAAACUUUACAUGAUCUGAGUUUAGACCGGUGUGAGCCAGGUCGGUUUCUAUCUUUAUAUGAAUAAUAAAUUUUAGUACGAAAGGACCAAAUUUA
RNAcentral lists this ribosomal RNA (1053 nucleotides) under Megalocaria dilatata. RNAcentral's name for it is "16S ribosomal RNA". The stretch from base 625 to 1053 matches the Rfam family "Bacterial large subunit ribosomal RNA", at positions 2048 to 2700 of the family's 2925-position model. Lineage: Eukaryota; Metazoa; Arthropoda; Insecta; Coleoptera; Coccinellidae. The record is from RNAcentral.